GAAACAAGAUGGCGGGCUCGUGGUGAGAAGCCGUCAAGGAGUAGAAAUUGGUAUGCUUAGAAGCAGAUUUUAAAAGCAGUUUAUCUUCAAAACAUCUUUUUUCAUACCACUUGAUAAGCAUCUUGAAACACCAUGGCUGUAGCUGCAGUAAAAUGGGUGAUGUCAAAGAGAACUAUCUUGAAACAUUUAUUUCCAGUCCAAACAGCGUAGAGCUUGCUGUGACUUCUGAUGGCAGGACAAUAGUAUGCUACCACCCUUCUGUGGACAUUCCGUAUGAACACACGAAACCUAUCCCUCGGCCAGAUCCUGUGCAUAAUAAUGAAGAAACACAUGAUCAAGUGCUGAAAACCAGAUUGGAAGAAAAAGUUGAACACCUUGAGGAAGGACCUAUGAUAGAACAACUUAGCAAAAUGUUCUUUACUACUAAGCACCGUUGGUAUCCUCAUGGACGGUAUCACAGAUGUCGUAAGAACCUGAAUCCUCCAAAAGACAGAUGAUGCUGAGGUUCCUGGGGGAAUCAAAGAGAAAUGUGCCUCAUUUGCCAUUUGGGAAAAUGCAGUCUGGUGU
Molecule: small RNA, 567 nt
Filed under: Pongo abelii (Sumatran orangutan)
Lineage: Eukaryota; Metazoa; Chordata; Mammalia; Primates; Hominidae
Description: processed transcript
Source: RNAcentral